CCUGAUGCAGCCAUGCCGCGUGUGUGAAGAAGGCCUUCGGGUUGUAAAGCACUUUCAGUUGUGAGGAAAAGUUAGUAGUUAAUACCUGCUAGCCGUGACGUUAACAACAGAAGAAGCACCGGCUAACUCCGUGCCAGCAGCCGCGGUAAUACGGAGGGUGCGAGCGUUAAUCGGAAUUACUGGGCGUAAAGCGCACGCAGGCGGUUUGUUAAGCUAGAUGUGAAAGCCCCGGGCUCAACCUGGGAUGGUCAUUUAGAACUGGCAGACUAGAGUCUUGGAGAGGGGAGUGGAAUUCCAGGUGUAGCGGUGAAAUGCGUAGAUAUCUGGAGGAACAUCAGUGGCGAAGGCGACUCCCUGGCCAAAGACUGACGCUCAUGUGCGAAAGUGUGGGUAGCGAACAGGAUUAGAUACCCUGGUAGUCCACACCGUAAACGCUGUCUACUAGCUGUUUGUGACUUUAAGUCGUGAGUAGCGAAGCUAACGCGAUAAGUAGACCGCCUGGGGAGUACGGCCGCAAGGUUAAAACUCAAAUGAAUUGACGGGGGCCCGCACAAGCGGUGGAGCAUGUGGUUUAAUUCGAUGCAACGCGAAGAACCUUACCUACACUUGACAUGCAGAGAACUUUCCAGAGAUGGAUUGGUGCCUUCGGGAACUCUGACACAGGUGCUGCAUGGCUGUCGUCAGCUCGUGUCGUGAGAUGUUGGGUUAAGUCCCGCAACG
This 720-nucleotide ribosomal RNA is filed under the name Alteromonas sp. R93. Its description in RNAcentral is "bacterial SSU rRNA". It matches the Rfam family "Bacterial small subunit ribosomal RNA", at positions 382 to 1094 of the family's 1533-position model. Lineage: Bacteria; Pseudomonadati; Pseudomonadota; Gammaproteobacteria; Alteromonadales; Alteromonadaceae. The record is from RNAcentral.